CCCAGAGCAGCUGGGACCAGGAUGGCCUCAACAUUGCUGUCUUGGCCAGUGUGUCAGGACUCCAGACUGCGGUUUCUAAAGGGAACUAGCAGCAAUGAUAGUGGCAGUCUUGCUAUUCCCCAAACGCUGCUACUUCCUCUUUCUUGGCUGACUGGGAACAAGCUGAGACCCAGAAGGAUAGUCACUCUGGACACCACAGUGUCAGAGCCACGGGACCGAAAGAAGUGCCUCAGAGAGAAACUGUGAAGCAGGGCUGACUUCUGGUGCCUGGAAUCUGCACAGGCUCCUGGGACUCCUCAUCUCUGUUGGGGCUGGUUACUCCUCUGAGCCACCUUAUGGAAUCCCACCCUGACCCGGUCACAGCUCAGCCUGCCUCCCUCGCCCACUUGCUCAGCAUUUUGUGUCUAUCUGGACUGAAGCCUUUGCUUUCUCUCUGUGAUUGUGGUCUACUUCUAGGAGGGCCAUCCAGAUGAACCACUUCUCCAUUUCACUGACAGGAAGACUGAGAACCGUACUCAAAAGGGGAGUAUUUUAAUUAAGCUGGAGAGUGGGGAACACUGAUGAGGAAAGCAAGCUGAUUGACUGAAGGCCCUGGCUGUCACUGCCAGCACAGGCACUUGAGCCUUCUUAUCAAGGGUUCUGAUGGGAGUUUCCACUAGGAUUGCAAGUAUUGAUCAUCUAGUAGCAGAGUUCUGAUGAGCUGGACUUUGGGUGGUUGGGGUAGGGAGCAGUGGAAAGGGGAAUUAGAAUCAUAUCAUCCUGUUUAACAUCAGUUUCUUCCCCUCUCUUCUAUAAAAAUGUCAAUAGCAAUACCUGCCUGGCAGAGUCGUGAGAAUUAAAUGAGAUAAUGAAUACUCCUGCUCUCAGCACCAUGCCACAUCUGUGGCAGUCCUCAGAGAGGAGAAUCACAGCUUCCAUUCAUUGAGAGCUCAGUAUGUGCCGGGUGUCCGCAGCUCUUGUGCAGACACAGACAUUCUCUUUCUUUGGAUGUAAAUGUGGCAUUGGCAGAGCAGGAAGAGCUAUGAGGCUGGCUGAGCUGAACCAGAGGGAUUGUCUACGUCUUAUACGGCAUUCAGGACUAUGGAGGAGCCACAAAAAGAAACAGAAACAGAACCCAAGUAUCCUUGGGGAACUGUUGGACUUUUCUCCCCUUGAUCUUGGACAUGCCUCAGUAGAGAUGCUGGUUUCUACCCAGACCCAUUCCUGGGGAAGGAACCCCAGCCAAGCAAGGGAAAGCCCAGACUCAGUGACAUGAAUUAUAGGUUUAAGACAGAUGCCUUCCCAUGAAGAUUUUUCUGGCCAGUAGCCUAUAUAAGAGAAAUUUGCUCAUUGUAUUUCUAUUUGGCCAAGGGAGGGGUCUGGAGGGGCUUUCAGCAACCCAAAUGGGCUUGUCAGCCCUAACCCUGGACCUAAGGAAAAUAGUUAUAAACCCUCAAGAUCUACUUAAAAGUGUCAUGACUGUAGAUAAACAAAGAAGAAUGGAUGCCUUUUCCUACUCCGCCUCACUGCAGAGACUUCAUCCGUCCCAGGGUCACCCACCACAGACUGGAUGAACUGGGAUUGGUCUUGGAGAGUGAAGUUCUCAGGAGCCAGGAGACUCCUGUAUUCUCUGUACUCCUUCUCCGCAAAAGGAAUGUCUAGAACCCCUGUUGGAAGUAGUCAUUGCCUGCAUUUCCUAGGCAGAAUGUCUAUUAGCUCCCUCCUCAGAAGAACUUGGGCUAAGGUGUUCCGGUCUGCAUCCAGAAAGAAUCUCUCCUGCAAAGAACUCUACACUCUCUAAGAGGAGAUAAUGUGAGGGCACAUUCUCCUUUCUUAGAGGAUGUUUUCAAUCCUAAACUCUAUCUCUGAAGUGAAUGAGAACCCAAUGGGGGAUGGUGCCCCAGUUUUCCCCAAGUUUCAAGUAAAACAAAAGCAAAACUAACCUGCAGUUUUGAAGGUGGGCUCCUUCAUUCCCCUACCCCCACUUUUUAAAACAUUUUUUUUUUCUUAAGGUUUCUUUUAUCUUUCGGCUUUUUGCAUACUCAGAAAUCAAAGAGCUCAAAGCUUCUCAGCUCAGCUGAGAACUCAGCACUUCUUGGACUGAUAAAUAGAGCAGCUUUAAAAUGCUUAGAAGUGAAGACAGACCAACUGUGGCGAGAGAAAGUAAACACAUCCAUGCACCAGCCAACCCUAGCAAGCUCCUCACUGAGAUUACAAACUGCAGUUCCUGCCUGAGCUGGCAAGGAUGCUGGAGCAGGCUGGGGGACCAGAACCACAAAGCAGCCUCCUCUGCUUCAGCUAGUUGUGCCCCAGAGGAGGCGGGUCCUCAGAGAGUCUUCCUGGGGUCUGGUUUGGAUGUUCCUAAGCAUAGCAGACUUUGCCAGUGUGUCCCUCAUUCGUUUCACAUUUGGAAAUGUACCAAGAGAAGCAGGAACGAGCUUCAUUCUUUCUGAUCUAGAAGGGACUCCUUUCCUUUGCAUUCAAGCUCUCUGUGUACAGGUGAAACUUGACAGUGAGAGACUUGGAAUUUUUCACAAAAUAGAAUGUGGUAACGACACAAUUUAAUAUGAAUAUUUGAGGAACUUUAUCUGUGGAUAAUACAUACUUUAAACAUCCCCCUCCCCAAGUCACACACACAAAUUGUUUUUAUGAGAACCAAUUAAUAAAUGCUAAUUCAUUCAGGCAUAUCUUCACUAAAUUACUGUUUCAUUUAAUUGCAGGGGAAUUUUCCAUUACUAAACUCUCCCUUGCUGAUUUUUUUUUUGCAUUAUUUAUAUAUUCUUUCAAUUUCACUAAUAGUGAGGUUGGUAUGUGAUAUUAUCUGAUGUUUGUACGUCUUAAAUUUCUUUUUCAUUUAAAAUAUUUCCUCAUUCUUGCAGCUCCACAUAAUCUGGGAGAAACAUCAUUAAAAGCAGGCAAGAUUUUAUACAUAAAUGAUUGAAAAAGGCACUGGCUGAAAUUAACCUGACAGGAACGCGUCUUGUGUGAUUGUUUUUUCUUGUCCCAGGCAUGCGUGUGUGUGCGCAUGUGUGUCUACUUUGGAUUAAUGUGGGAAUGCUUUCCUAUAUCAGUAAGUCGCAAGUCGAUCUAUUAAAAGAUUGUGCAUACAAAAUAGAGAUGAAGAUCACCGGGGCUUUAAUAAUAAAAUGAACACAAACAACACUCGAAAUCUCUUUCUAAAACCCAGAGCACAAUGUGCGUUUUCUUGCUUCCUUUUCAUGGACCCCAAAUAAAGACUUUGACAAUCAGAUAUCCAAAAUCCUAAUCAGCCAGCUCCCUAAAAUUCUGCCUCUUUUGUACGUGUAGAAAAGUGGGGGUGUCCCAUGGUGGUUAGGAGUUGCUUAGAGACUGUGGUAGAGAUUCGGUGUUGACAAAAGUGUGUUUUGAAAGCAGGAUUUUGAUUUUCUUAUAUUGAAUGGCAAAGGUUCCAUCACCGGCUAUCUUCAUUUCUGAAAUAAAUGCUUCAUUUCAUUAUCUCCAGCUACCUUCUCCCUCUCUUUCCUCUCCACCCCCAUCGCCUCCUUUCAAUGUCUUUCUUUUUCUCUUUAUUCUUUUACCCUUUUCUCUCUCACAGCAAAAUGUUCUGGAGGAUGUGAAUGAUUAAACUGUUUACUCCAAGGUUUAGGUAUGAAAAGGCAUGUCACUGUAAGUAAAGUUUCACCUUUAUACCCAAGUCCAUCAAUAAUUACAGAACAAGGAUGACUAUUCUUAAAUCUUUCUUACAAUUGGCUUUUACAAAAAUGAUUUUAUUUUUUCUGGGCAUACCAAGUUCGACAGAUUUUACUUCUCACUGAAAAUUAUUUACACAGCAGAGGAAUAAAUACCUCCAAAAUAAAGGUAGCAUAUAAGGGGCCUGUGAGUGUAUCCACAGGAAAAUGAAUACCUAUAAAAUGCAUCUCAAUAAAUUAAAGAAUUUGAGGCCAUAAAUAGAACAUUUUGACAUAUUAUAUUAGUAGAUGCCCACUAAUUUAAACCAAAAUGUCCCUUAAUAAUUAAAAUUCCAUGAGAUUAAUUUUUUUAUUUUGUUUCCUUCACUUCCUUUGUCUUCUUCAAGAAAAUUAGGCAGAGUCUUUUUGGGGGUAGGCUGAUAAAAUUAAUUAACUUUCCUUCCAUCCCCAAAAAGUUCCAAAUAAAUGCUUCCAAUAGACAUCAAAAAAGUGUCAAUUAGAAAUAAUUACUUCUUAUCAAUCAGUGGGGCAAUUAAAGUGACAAAGCUUAAAAAGAUACUUAUCUUAAAACUAAUUCACAAGGUAGCUAAAUUAUCUCCUAAUUAACUUACAUUGAGGAGGGUGGGGAGGAUAGACCAUCUUGAAACAAAGAUGAAUUGAUGAACCCCAAUACCUCUUUAUGUUCCUCAAAGCUGCUUCCCUUCUCUGAAAUAUUAUUUUCCACCCAGGCAGGAAAACUGGGAAGAAAACAGAUCCUUUCCAAAUGCAUUUAUUCCCCUUUUCUCAAUUCUAAAACCAAGAGGAAAGAAUGGGGCUUUAGCUCUCAGAUCAGAGAAGUUAGAGACAUUUAUUUUACCACUUGAAUGAACUAUUUUCAGUACCGGGGGAGUGGGCUGCGACAAGUUAUUUAAGGUAACUUUUAAUGACAGCCUGCUUGCUUUUACAAAACUCUCUUCCUCGUUGGUACAGUAUUGUUUUCACUUUAAUAUAUAUGUGUAACAUUUAUCAUUUCUCCCGCAUCUUUGAAUUAAAAAAAAUGUUUUUGCUUUAGAGAAUUUCGUCCCAGAUACAACAAAAAUAGCGAUUUUAAGGAACGUUCAGCCCAUCGUUGACCUGCGCAUGUUAGAAUGAUUCACGCUAAACAUUCCUUCAGAAUAAAGCUUUAGGAAAGACAAUGUUAAGGCUCUGCAAGACAAGAUCAGCCAAAGACGAGGGGAGCGUGAGCCCUGGAAGGCUGGGCGGCGGAGGCCGCGCAGGAAACUUUUCUUGAGCGUCUUGGGUUAUUGGGAAGGGUGCGCUCGGCCCCGUUCCCGCGAAAAGCUGUGUGGUUGCUUGCCUCCCAGAUUCUAGUCAAAGAAAACUUAAAAGGGAGCUCCCUAAGCACUGCCGAACUCAGAAAUGGAGGUGCCUGGGUAAAUGGGGGAAGCUGCUAAAACCUAAGAGAAAAUGGACUUGUAAAAACAAGAGAGGUCCGCUUAUGAAUUUAGCUUCAAUUAUAGACAACAGUAUCAGGUAAACGGAUCGGAAAGACAGAGGGCCUCUCCCAGAGUUUUGCCGAGGGAGCGUUCAGAAAAAGAAACAGGGGAGUGCCUUCAACAGUCUGUGCUGUUAUAGGCUAUUUUCUAGUUUUAUUAGCAUUUAAAUUAAAGUAAAGAGGAAAGUCUUAUCCUCUCUCCCUCGCCGCUUUAUUUGUUUAUUUGUUUUGGAAAUUGGGUGGGAGAAGGCCCUCUGUCUUCUGAAAAGAAAAAACGGGGAAAAAUUACCUGGCAGGUCCAGGGGCAGAGUACUCCCUCCCCAAACCCAGGCGCGAUUUGCAUCCAAGCUAAUGGGAAAGCGCUCAUCUCAUAAUCUGGGACUGAUAUUGAUUAAAACUACAGUAAAAAUAAA
Non-coding RNA from Callithrix jacchus (white-tufted-ear marmoset), 5534 nucleotides. The record is from RefSeq and is a predicted model, not a curated record. Lineage: Eukaryota; Metazoa; Chordata; Mammalia; Primates; Cebidae.